RNAcentral lists this ribosomal RNA (1201 nucleotides) under Tubakiella galerita. Its description in RNAcentral is "SSU rRNA". It matches the Rfam family "Eukaryotic small subunit ribosomal RNA", at positions 64 to 1277 of the family's 1831-position model. Lineage: Eukaryota; Fungi; Ascomycota; Sordariomycetes; Microascales; Halosphaeriaceae. The record is from RNAcentral.
UGUAAGGCAAUUGUACCGCGAAACUGCGAAUGGCUCAUUAUAUAAGUUAUCGUUUAUUUGAUAGCAUACUUCUACUUGGAUAACCGUGGUAAUUCUAGAGCUAAUACAUGCUAAAAAUCCCGACUUCGGAAGGGAUGUAUUUAUUAGAUUAAAAGCCAAUGCCCUCUGGGCUCUUUGGUGAAUCAUGAUAACUUCUCGAAUCGCAUGGCCUUGCGCCGGCGAUGGUUCAUUCAAAUUUCUUCCCUAUCAACUUUCGAUGCGAGGGUCUUGUCCUCGCAUGGUUACAACGGGUGACGGAGGGUUAGGGCUCGACCCCGGAGAAGGAGCCUGAGAAACGGCUACUACAUCCAAGGAAGGCAGCAGGCGCGCAAAUUACCCAAUCCCGACACGGGGAGGUAGUGACGAAAAAUACUGAUACAGGGCUCUUUUGGGUCUUGUAAUUGGAAUGAGUACAAUUUAAAUCCCUUAACGAGGAACAAUUGGAGGGCAAGUCUGGUGCCAGCAGCCGCGGUAAUUCCAGCUCCAUAGCGUAUAUUAAAGUUGUCGUGGUUAAAAAGCUCGUAGUUGAACCUUGGGCCUGGCUGGCCGGUCCCCCUCACCGGGUGCACUGGUCCGGCCGGGCCUUUCCCUCUGUGGAACCCCAUGCCCUUCACUGGGCGUGGCGGGGAAACAGGACUUUUACUUUGAAAAAAUUAGAGUGCUCCAGGCAGGCCUAUGCUCGAAUAGUUCAGCAUGGAAUAAUAGAAUAGGACGUGUGGUUCUAUUUUGUUGGUUUCUAGGACCGCCGUAAUGAUUAAUAGGGACAGUCGGGGGCAUCAGUAUUCAAUUGUCAGAGGUGAAAUUCUUGGAUCUAUUGAAGACUAACUACUGCGAAAGCAUUUGCCAAGGAUGUUUUCAUUGAUAAGGAACGAAAGUUAGGGGAUCGAAGACGAUCAGAUACCGUCGUAGUCUUAACUAUAAACUAUGCCGACUAGGGAUCGGACGAUGUUAUCUUUUGACUCGUUCGGCACCUUUCGAGAAAUCAAAGUGCUUGGGCUCCAGGGGGAGUAUGGUCGCAAGGCUGAAACUUAAAGAAAUUGACGGAAGGGCACCACCNGGGGUGGAGCCUGCGGCUUAAUUUGACUCAACACNGGGAAACUCACCAGGUCCAGACACAGUGAGGAUUGACAGAUUGAUAGCGCUUUCUUGAUUCUGUGGGUGG